RNAcentral lists this ribosomal RNA (429 nucleotides) under Bacteroidota bacterium. RNAcentral describes it as "Bacteroidetes bacterium partial 16S ribosomal RNA". It matches the Rfam family "Bacterial small subunit ribosomal RNA", at positions 355 to 776 of the family's 1533-position model. Lineage: Bacteria; Pseudomonadati; Bacteroidota. The record is from RNAcentral.
UAGGGAAUCUUCCGCAAUGGGCGAAAGCUUGACGGAGCAACGCCGCGUGAGUGAUGAAGGUCUUCGGAUCGUAAAACUCUGUUAUUAGGGAAGAACACAUGUGUAAGUAACUAUGCACGUCUUGACGGUACCUAAUCAGAAAGCCACGGCUAACUACGUGCCAGCAGCCGCGGUAAUACGUAGGUGGCAAGCGUUAUCCGGAAUUAUUGGGCGUAAAGCGCGCGUAGGCGGUUUUUUAAGUCUGAUGUGAAAGCCCACGGCUCAACCGUGGAGGGUAAUUGGAAACUGGAAAACUUGAGUGCAGAAGCGGAAAGUGGAAUUCCAUGUAUAGCGGUGAAAUGCGCAGAGAUAUGGAGGAACACCAGUGGCGAAGGCGACUUUCUGGUCUGUAACUGACGCAGAUGUGCGAAAGCGUGGGGAUCAAACAGG